CUGAACUCUUCUUGAAUCUAAAACUGCCUACAUGGCUAGAUUGAAAGUCACACUUUCUUUAGUGUUUAAUUGCUGGGUCUAAUUGCUGAAGGACUGAAGUUUGCAUUCCCCCUCCUUUGUAGUCCCUACCAACAGCCGAAAACUGUGGAGGAAUAACCGUAAGCCAUGCACUUCCACCCUUCCUGGCUGGCAGUUUCUGCCUCCUACAGAUGUCCUCGGAGCCACUCAGACGUGUGUGAGACUUCGUGGAAAAAAGAAGAGACAAGUUCAAAUCCUAGUGCUACUGGUUGCCUCACGGAGUGAAGGACAUGCUCAAACCCCAGCCCCUGCUCCACCGGGUGAAGCUUGUACAGAAGUCCCAAACCAACCUCCAAAGUCCCCAGGACUCUGAAGAUCAUUCACUGUUUCUUCUACGUGGAGAGAGCAGUUGCAGCCUGCCAGGGAAGGUCGUGGCUGCAAAUGAGCAUCCAUAAACCAUCUGGGAGGGGCCCCACACUGAUUCUAGCCACUUCAAGAACCAUCAAAGUGUCUAAAAGCAGACCUUGUGUUCAUCAGUCUUAAAUCCAGCCUUGGAACAAAACAACAAAAACCAAUAGCAAAAGCACAAAACCCCAAAAUGAACAAACAAACAAAAGUCACAAAACCAAGGAGGAACCCAGUGAAUGGAUGCUUUCACAAUCCUAUCAAGAAAUUCUCAUGGACUUUGGUUUGGAUGCUGGAAAAGCGCCCCUUGUUUUGACCUCUCUUGGUCCCUGUCUAGGCCUUGUAAUACUCACAGCUCUUGCCUGUCCUCUUUCACGUCUCUUUCCAGGUACCAGUCAGGGACCCCGUUUCCUCUGUCACUUGGCUGUUAUAUGAAGGGAACUAGUGAUGUGCUUGGGGGACUUUUAGGUAGACCUACUGGAGCCACCCUGGAUGCUACACCUUAUACACCCAUUCACCAGGAAGAAGCCAGAUCAGUCAUUGUCCCAAUACCAUAAUGGCAGUUAGAGUUACCUCUUCAGAAUGGGGAAUGAGGAGAAUAGAAUGUACAAACAGAUCAGGCAGUCUAGGAUAAAAAGACCCCAAAGGAAAUUAGCUAGCUUCUUUCUCAGCUAAAAGCCAGAAAUAUCCUUGGGCCUCUUGGCAGCCUUGUCCUUGCCAGAGGCCAGAAAUACCAGAAGUGUUUGAGGGAUCUGAUUCCUAAUCUGAUCCCUAAAUGAUUUUGGGUUUACCUUUUUAGGGGGGUGAGGUUAGAGUGGCAAUUGGGCCUGUUUAGAGAUAAGAAUCUCUGUCCAAAUGGAGACCUAACAGUUUUCCGUUUUCAUACACUUGGAGCCUGCUUGCUCUUUCUCUACGGCCUCCCUGCCCACUGCACGCUGCUUCUCCACCAUGCGUCUGACCCCCACAUCAGCUUAUACAGCAUGGCCGCCCUCCCACCUUCCCUCCCUCCUUCUCUCCCUCUCUCCAUGCUUCUCCAGGCUGUUGCUGAGAGUCACAGCUUGCCUGCUGUGGAGACUUUUAAACUCUAAUAAAAGUGUCCUAGAGCUUCCAGAACAACAGUAAAAUCAACCACCCUUUAUGAAGCUGCUGCCACCGUGGAACGUGGUGUUUGGAGCAAUUGGAAUCUGCUUUCCUGGGCGACAGCCACUCAUAAUUAACUCUUGAGUAAGCCAUCUCCCGUUUUCUCUGAGGUGAGAACUGGGGCUUGGGUGUUUGAGUCAAUAGCCAUGCAUUAGCAUAUGCUAAGAUGAUUCACCACAGUUAGGGGAUGAUGAUGGCUCAGAGGAUGAAGACACUUGCCACCAAGCCUGUGACCUGAAUUUGAUCCCUGGGAUCCACGUGGUGGAGGAAAUGAACUGACUCAUGGACAUUUUCCUCUGACCUCCACCAGCACACUCCCCACACUCAAAUAAACAAAUACAGUUUUUGUUUUGUUUUUGUAGAUGGUGUAGGGGAAAAGAGAGCUGAUUCAUUUCCAUGGUGUUAGCCUUCUGCAGGAAGGGCUGUGACCUUUGCAAGUCAUUGGAGCCACUGUCCUGUUGAUAUUUUGGGGCUGACAAGAAGCGAAGCCAUUUUGGUAACUGCUGAGGGCACGAGCUGCCCGCCUGCCCGUGUUGCUGGAGAAACAUUCUCCGAACACGCACUUUCAGCAAGCCCCAGGACUCUGCAUCAGCACCAGCAGACACCACAUCUCAGCUUAGGAUGCAGGAGGCCCUGUUCUGUGUGCUGCCUGUCUGGUGACCAGGAGCAGUGACUCAGGUGUCAGAGCUGGCUUGGCACAACCUGGGUGACAGCUCCUACUGUCUGGCUACCUUUCUAUGUAGACAGUGGCACAGUCCUCGAUGUGAGGUUCACACAAAGCCCUGUUUUCAAAGCAUACAGCAAUUCUGCACCACAAGAGAUGCAGGGGAGGUUAGGCACCCAUCAUUUCACAUCCACACAGUGAUCUCCCUGCUCUGAAUGUGCUCACUGCUCCAUGCUACAUCCUGGGCAUUUAUUGUGGGCCCAGCCCCGUGCUAGACCUGGCAAUCCCGUGUCAUGUAAUUUGACACAAGCUAGAGUUAUCUGAAAGGAGGGGCCUUCAAUUGAGAAAAUGCCUCCAGGGCAUUUUCUAGCUAUAGGAUAUUUUCUUAAUUAGUGAUUGAUGUGGAAGGGCCCAGACCAUUGUGGGUGGGGCCUCCCCUGGGCUGGUGGUCCUGUAAGCGGAAUAUCAGAUCAGGUCUUCUUCUUCCUCUUCCUCUUCCUCUUCC
This is a non-coding RNA of Cricetulus griseus (Chinese hamster), 2732 nucleotides long. The record is from RefSeq and is a predicted model, not a curated record. NCBI's taxonomy places the organism in Eukaryota, Metazoa, Chordata, Mammalia, Rodentia, Cricetidae.